RNAcentral lists this ribosomal RNA (497 nucleotides) under uncultured bacterium. RNAcentral describes it as "partial 16S ribosomal RNA". It matches the Rfam family "Bacterial small subunit ribosomal RNA", at positions 28 to 507 of the family's 1533-position model. The record is from RNAcentral.
GAUGAACGCUGGCGGCGUGCCUAAUACAUGCAAGUCGAGCGAACGGACGAGACGCUUGCUUCUCUGAUGUUAGCGGCGGACGGGUGAGUAACACGUGGAUAACCUACCUAUAAGACUGGGAUAACUUCGGGAAACCGUAGCUAAUACCGGAUAAUCUUUUGAACCGCAUGGUUCAAAAGUGAAAGACGGUCUUGCUGUCACUUAUAGCUGGAUCCGCGCUGCAUUAGCUAGUUGGUAAGGUAACGGCUUACCAAGGCAACGAUGCAUAUCCGACCGGAGAGGGUGAUAGCCCACACGGGAACGGAGACACGGUCCAUACGCCUACGGGAGGCAGCAGUAGGGAAUGUUCCGCAAUGGGCGAAAGCCUGACGGAGCAGCGCGGCGUGAGUGAUGGAGGUCUUCGGAUCGUAAAACUCUGUUAUUAGGGAAGAACAUAUGUGUAAGUAACUGUGCACAGCUUGACGGUACCUAAUCAGAAAGCCACGGCUAACUACGUG